UACAGAGGUGGCAAGCGUUGUUCGGAAUUACUGGGCGUAAAGGGCGCGUAGGCGGUCUGCUAAGUUGGAUGUGAAAACUCUGGGCUUAACCCAGAGCCUGCAUUCAAUACUGACAGGCUAGAGUUCUGGAGGGGAUAGCGGAAUUCCUGGUGUAGCGGUGAAAUGCGUAGAUAUCGGGAGGAACACCGGUGGCGAAGGCGGAUCUCUGGGCCGUAACUGACGCUGAGGAGCGAAAGCAUGGGGAGCGAACAGG
Molecule: ribosomal RNA, 253 nt
Filed under: uncultured bacterium
Lineage: Bacteria
Description: partial 16S ribosomal RNA
Rfam family: Bacterial small subunit ribosomal RNA
Source: RNAcentral